AUAAGGCAGGCCUGACAAAACUCGGGGCACAGUUCCCCCCUAGCUUAGAGUGGCAGCCCUAGAAAAUAUUGACAUCCAUUCAGCAGAAGCUACUUGACUUGCAGUUGGUCUGGGACCUCAAGCAAAUCCCAAUCCAGCAGGGGACAUCUACCAUGGCCACAAGGCACACGUGCCCUGAGACGGUCUACUGCCCAAGCAAAGUAGUCUGAGAGAUCAGAGAAGGGGUAGGAGCAGCAUGGAAGGCUCUACCAAAAGGGAGAGUGUUUAAGAGGAAUUCCCAUUGGGUAGUGACACCAGAAGAGGCCUGGCAGGAGGGAGGAACAAUAUACAAAAUGUAUCCCUUUCUCCUCUUUGAUCCCCUUAUUCUCCUCUUCCUCCUGUACACAGAGCUGGAAAUAGAAGUUCAAAAUACAAGAAUGUCUUCACUGCUGUCUCCUGCUUCCCUGGAUAGAUGCAUACUUAUUCUUGCCUUGAGGGAGAACAAAAAGGGAACACACAAUUUAAUAUGUAGAACUUUAUACCAGGCACUGAGUUGAAAGCUUUACAGGCAUAAUCUCUUGUAAUCCUGAUCACAAUCUAAUGAGAUAUAUAGUAUCAUCUGCACUCUACAGAUACAAGUGAGACUCAGAAACAGCUUAAUUUGUCUACAGUCACAUUAAGUUGCAUGCUUUGGACGGAAAGACCGAAGGGCUUGUCUGAUUCUAAAGCCUGUGUUAUUCCCAUUCCACUAGAUUGCUCCCACUGAGCCCCCAUCCACAGGAAGAAUGGUCCUGGCUUUGCUGACAUGCCAUAUGACCUAGGUUUUAAACCAUGUGACCACAAAAGGUACUCCAGGCCCAAACACGUGAUCAUGAUAAUCAUCAUCAAUACCUGUGGAGUACUUACAUCCCAGGAACUGCACUAAGCCUUCUGCCAUGAGAUAGUGAUGAUAUAUGUUGUGACCAUUUCACAUAUGAGGAAACCAAAGCUUGGUGUCUGGUCUCGCUCAAGCCUGGAAAUGGCAGAGGUAGGAUGAAUAUGUGCAAGACCAGAGCUGGUCUCAUAAUCUUGGUCCAGAACAGCUUCAAAAUUGGGCAUGCCCUGUAUCUGCCUGGAGGUCAGUUUCUUCCUCUACCUCCUAACACUGAUCCUUUGAGCAUAAACUCACAGGGCCUAGCUGAAGGCAUACUCUGAAGUCCAAGAGCCAAUCAGCACUUGCUGUGAGCUUUGGGGAUGGCCCCCGCCCCCUUCCUACACCUUAAGAGUUGGCUCCUCACAGUGAUAAUGUGGCAAGAUUAGUCACUGCUUGCUGUUGGUUGAUUAUAGCUAUUCUUUUCUGUAAAUGAAGUUUAAAAGUCAUCAAAGGGUUUGUCAGCUGUGACUUCCGAGCCUCUUUCCCACAGGGAAGUCAGGCAGUGACAAAUGCCCGUCUUGUUUUGCCAUCCAUUACAAGUUGGAAGGCACCAUGUUCCAAUUACUGGAAACCCCGAUGGAGCUCAAGGAAAACCCUGCUCCAGGCUAUGGCCAUUACUCAGGCCUGGCAGGGCUGCCAUAGGCCCAGGCCCAACUGGGUAGGAAUGGAAUAAGAGUGUUCUUCUGAUUUUGUGAGCAGGCCCCUUCUACCCUUUAACUUGCGUUAUCCCUGGUGGUUUAUCCUAGACACAUUUCACAGACAAAAACAUGGGUACCAUGUGGGCUGUCUGAAAGUAUGCAGGAUCAAGACUGCUUACAACAGGCAGACAUAAGGAAAUAAGGUCAUGCUGUCCCUAUGAACUAGGCAGGAAAUAUGAUGUUGAGGAAGGGUGGAGAAGGCAGAGAAUAAAGUAUGUAGGAUGCUCAGAGAAAGUAGAGAGUAAAAGGAGCCUUACAGAUCCUCUAGAGUAACCAAUGGCCUCAGUACUGAAUACUCACUAUAUGUCAGGCCUAUCUAGCUAGAUGCUGUGGAACCAAAGAUGAAUAAAGUCCCUGGUUCCUAGGAUAUGCCACAUGAUCUAGGGAAUAAAAACCUAUGUCAUGUGGCAUAUCCUUGAGGGUAAAUAAGAAAAAUUAAGUCUCAGAGAAAGGGACUUGCCCAAGGUAACAAAGUAAGUUAGGGACAGUGAUAGAAAAAGAAAGCAGAUCUCUACCAUUUGUGAUACAGAGAAAGUACAGUGACAAGUGAGCCCUCAUGUGGAACAGGCUCCUUACACAGAACAUGCCACAUAACUCCCAUUCAAAUCCUACCUACUUGCUUACUUACCACACCUUUGACCUCUGGCAAGUCCUAUAACCUAGUCAAAGUUUCAGAAAACUUACUACAGAAUUGUGGAGAAGAUUAAAUAAUACACAUACAGUGCACAGCAGUAGGCAAAUCUUAAGUACUCAAAAUAUUAUUUACCAUCAAAUAAUCCCCAAAACAGUACUCUGAGGCAGGUAUUAUUAAUCUCAUAAUCAAAAGACUGAGGUUAUUUUUCACACUGUCACACUAACUUAAUAAGUCAGUACUUCUCAAAACUAUUUGUGGUGAAGAACCAGUUUUUUUCUUUUGUUUUGCUUUUUAAACUUCACUUUGAAUAACACAGCUCUAAGCCACUCUUGCCCAACCAUGAACUUCUAUGAAACCAAAGCAAAGAAAACAUGAAGUUUACUUCAUUUCUUUCCAAGUCCUUGAGCCUGAUUGUUUUUAGACAUUGGUGUCAGACUAAUUUACAAAAACUAUCCAAUUUUUUUCCUUUUCUUGUCUCUCUCUUAAGAGAGAAGGGGAUAGGCAGACUAAGGACUUGCCACCAAACACUUCUAGUGGUGAUUUAUCUUGGUCUCUGCUCUAUGUCAUGCUACAUCCUGCAAGAGAAGACAAUCUAGGCUUAAUGGGGGACUGGAACCACUUUCCUGGAGCCUGGGGGUAUAUUCCUGAAGAGUCUGGUAUUCCAGACCCUCUCUCCAUACUUUGACGAACACCAGGAAACCAGCCAGGAAGGUGAAAGGGAGAAGAAAACGUUUUCUCAUUUUCUGUCUUGCAUCAUGGCUGUUUACAAACCAGUCUUCUCUCUCCAUCUAGGGAGUUGAGAGGAAUGGACAACAGAUUCAUUCCUGAAUGCUACUGUACUUACCUAAGACUAUGACUGGGCAAAUUGAGUAGAGCUCUUAACCAGUGUUCAAAGGCACAAUACUGCACCCUCAAUCUUCCAUGUGUGCGGUCAAAUUUUCAUCAGUGUACAAAACUGCUUUUUGCUUUGAGCUUAUGUAGUGUUAUCUUUCAUGCAGAAUCAGUAUUUUCCUCAUUACAACAAUCCUUCU
This is a long non-coding RNA of Symphalangus syndactylus (siamang), 3255 nucleotides long. RefSeq lists it as uncharacterized. Lineage: Eukaryota; Metazoa; Chordata; Mammalia; Primates; Hylobatidae. The record is from RefSeq and is a predicted model, not a curated record.